This is a long non-coding RNA of Leucoraja erinaceus (little skate), 1624 nucleotides long. RefSeq lists it as uncharacterized. The record is from RefSeq and is a predicted model, not a curated record. The transcript is spliced from 11 exons. NCBI's taxonomy places the organism in Eukaryota, Metazoa, Chordata, Chondrichthyes, Rajiformes, Rajidae.
GGAGCUGUGCGCAUGCUCGCGGACUCCACCACGCGGGCGAACGUUAGCGUUUGUAACGGUGACCCGGCCGCUUCCUUCCCGCGCGGCGGGCAAUGGUGCCCCGGUCGGCAUCGGCAUCGGCAUCGGCGUCCAUCGAGCUCUUUCAGCCAACACGACCUCUGGUCGCCCACAGAUCAGACUUUAAUGCAUCUUAUCUUCCCAUGGCCAGAAAAACGUUGACGUGGCGCCUUCUCGUGCACCGAGACCUCGGGGCCACAACAGAACGACCGAGAAAACGUGCUGAAUCGUGUUCCAGAGGAGAGUGUAGAGCCAGCGAGACCGCAUCCACCGUUGAUCUGUUGUGCCGGUAAGCGAACUGCAGUGGGUCCAGGUUUUUGUCGAGGUAGGAGUUGAUUUGCGCCAUGAUCAACCUCUCAAAGCACUUCAUCACCACCGACGUAGUGCCACAGAGAAAAAUAGGAAACAUUGGAAUUCAGAAAAAGCCAAGGCAAAAGAGGACAGGAGAGUGGCAAGAAACAUAAAAACAGAUUAUAAGAGCUUCUGGAGUGGAUGAGCAGUACAUGCCUUUUACAAACCUGAACAACAUUGGGGCUUGGCUGUAAAGAUCUAAAUAACAUUUGAGAAGUUGAAGAAGGCAUCGGCCAUCCCCAACACAGUGGAUGAGCAGUACAUGCCUUUUACAAACCUGAACAACAUUGGGGCUUGGCUGUAAAGAUCUAAAUAACAUUUGAGAAGUUGAAGAAGGCAUCGGCCAUCCCCAACACAGUGGAUGAGCAGUACAUGCCUUUUACAAACCUGAACAACAUUGGGGCUUGGCUGUAAAGAUCUAAAUAACAUUUGAGAAGUUGAAGAAAGCAUCGGCCAUCCCCAACACAGAUAUUUUCAACAGACGUCUUACAAACCAUAAGAAAUGCAACAUGAAUGGAUUGGAUGUUGAUAUCUACUGUUGUGCCCGUUUUGAAGAAUAUGAAGGUGCUGUAUUGCUAUUUAUUAACAAGUGCAAGUCCUCAUUGGUGGAAAUGAGGACGCGAUGAAAAAAUCAUUUCUCGUGCUGUCUCAACGAGCCAUGGAUCUACAUUUUGUCAUUGGGUAAUAUUAUUUCGAGAUACCACAGACCCAAGGAUGUGAUGAUUGGUUGACUAUCAGAGGUGAAAGGUCUGAACCAGAUUCAGGAGCAGGCUGAGUUUGAGGGUGUUGUAAGUGCCUGGAGGGACAAUCUGUGCAGCAAAGAUGUCAGCAAGAACGGCUGUAAAUCUCCAGGGUGAAGACAUUGUGAUGGACAGCAGAUAUUUGAAGUUGUCGUUGAUGACAGGUAAAUAAGCAAUUGGUGUUCCAAAAGAAGCGGGGAGCUCACUUCCACUCAAGCAUGAGAUAAUGAUGGUGAUAGAAGAGAAUCAAGAACCUGCUGCUAGCCUAAAGAACUAACCCACCUGCAGAUUUCUUUUCUUGGACCUUUUUAAGGGGAUGUUAUCUGAACAUUAGUGAUCCUGAGCACUCCACCACAAAGUGGAUUUUUGGACCCUGUAUUCUUAUUGAUGUGCACUUAAACAUUGUUUUGCAGUUUGAUGCAAGAAAAUUAAAUAUUUAAUUAAAAUACCAGGAAAUUGCUGGCAGUAUUUAUUAG